AGCAGCCGCGGUAAUUCCAGCUCCAAUAGCGUAUAUUAAAGUUGCUGCAGUUAAAAAGCUCGUAGUUGAAUUUCGGGACCAUCAUGUCGGUCGUGCCUCGGUACGUACUGGCAUUGUUGGUUUCUACCUUCUGACGAACCAUGAUGUCAUUUAUUUGGUGUCGUGGGAAAUCAGGACUGUUACUUUGAAAAAAUUAGAGUGUUUAAAGCAGGCUCACGCUUGAAUACAUUAGCAUGGAAUAAUGAAAUAGGACGUUUGAUUCUAUUUUGUUGGUUUCUAGGAUCGACGUAAUGAUUAAUAGGGAUAGUUGGGGGCAUUAGUAUUCAAUUGUCAGAGGUGAAAUUCUUGGAUUUAUUGAAGACUAACUACUGCGAAAGCAUUUGCCAAGGAUGUUUUCAUUAAUCAAGAACGAAAGUUAGGGGAUCGAAGACGAUCAGAUACCGUCGUAGUCUUAACCAUAAACUAUGCCGACUAGGGAUCGGAUGAUGUAAUUUUUAAUGA
Molecule: ribosomal RNA, 501 nt
Filed under: uncultured Glomus
Lineage: Eukaryota; Fungi; Glomeromycota; Glomeromycetes; Glomerales; Glomeraceae
Description: SSU rRNA
Rfam family: Eukaryotic small subunit ribosomal RNA
Source: RNAcentral